CAAACGGCGUACGAGCUGAAUGCUUUAUCAGCACAAUGGAAGGAACUCUGUGAGAAGAACAUUGCAAUUGAAGCUGCAUGUGUCCAAGUUGAAAACCAUCUUGAACAAUUAAAAUCAGAAGCAGCAGAGAGAGGCUGGAAUCUCGAUACUAAUAUGGAGAAUGGCUCUUCUGUGCCUUGAGGAUGGACGAUUAGAUGGAAACACUGUUGAAUAGGGCGUACAUUUCUGGAAAAAGAUUUUGAAUCCGUCCCAAAAUACGCCAAUUGGUCUUUAAAUGUUGGUUGUAUACGUGAUAAUGGGUUUGUAGCCUUAAAUGUUUCCUUCCAUGAUUUUGUAGUUCAUGCAGAUUAGAUUCUGAUUGUAUGUCAUGAACAAUGUUGCAGAAUUUUCUAUUACUUUGCUUGUUGGUUCUAUAAAAAGGGAAGUUAACCGAGUUACUUUUAGUUUGCCGAAUCAUAAUUAAAGCUUCUAACCUGAAGUGAAUGUGGUGAAGCAUCUGAUCCGUGGGUUUUUGUCGUGGCUGUCGAGUUGGGCGCGUCUUUGUCAUCCCUAUCACUGGAUC
Molecule: long non-coding RNA, 562 nt
Filed under: Helianthus annuus (common sunflower)
Lineage: Eukaryota; Viridiplantae; Streptophyta; Magnoliopsida; Asterales; Asteraceae
Description: hypothetical non coding rna
Source: RNAcentral